UUGUGCUUUUGGUUUGACUUGAACGAAAUUGAUUGUGCUUUUGGUUUGUGUGUCUGAAAUUGAUUGAUUAUCGUUUUGGUUUGAAUUGAACCGGAUUGAUGGUGCUUUUGGUUUGUGUGUCUGAACUGAAUUGAUUGUGCUUUGUGUUUGAAUUGAACAGUGUCUCAUGUGCUUUUGGUUUGUGUGUCUUGAUGUUAGGAGUUUUGAGGGCUCCUAAGACAAAUGUUGUAGUAUAGUGAUUGUCGAACCAGUUCUGAGGGAUAUCAAAGCACUGAGAAUGCAAGUACUCACUUAAUCUAAGUGCAACCAAUGAUUUAGAUGGGUUUUAAGCUAUGACUAGAACUAAAA
This 348-nucleotide long non-coding RNA is filed under the name Brassica napus (rape). RNAcentral's name for it is "long non-coding RNA (BNAP_LNC023075)". The record is from RNAcentral. Lineage: Eukaryota; Viridiplantae; Streptophyta; Magnoliopsida; Brassicales; Brassicaceae.